GGAUGUGAGGGUGAUCUGGCUGUGACAUCUGUCACCCCCACUGAUCGCCAGGGUUGAUUCAGCUGAUCUGGCUGGCUAGGCAGGUGUCCCCUUCCUCCCUCACCGUUCCAUGUGCGUCCCUCCCGAAGCUGUGUGCUCCAUUAAAGAGGACGGCCUUCCCCAAAUAGAGAUGGACCAUUCUUCGGUCAAGGGUAUUGGAGUAGCUACAUUCCACAAGUGGUGAAGCAGGGUCCCUUGCAGGUGUCUCUCUCU
Molecule: small nuclear RNA, 252 nt
Filed under: Erinaceus europaeus (western European hedgehog)
Lineage: Eukaryota; Metazoa; Chordata; Mammalia; Eulipotyphla; Erinaceidae
Description: 7SK RNA
Rfam family: 7SK RNA
About the family: 7SK was discovered as an abundant small nuclear RNA in the mid-70s but a possible function has only recently been suggested.
Source: Rfam by way of RNAcentral